RNAcentral lists this ribosomal RNA (512 nucleotides) under uncultured bacterium. Its description in RNAcentral is "partial 16S ribosomal RNA". It matches the Rfam family "Bacterial small subunit ribosomal RNA", at positions 28 to 523 of the family's 1533-position model. The record is from RNAcentral.
GACGAACGCUGGCGGCGUGCCUAAUACAUGCAAGUCGAGCGAAUUAAUGGGAGCUUGCUCCCUGAUAUUAGCGGCGGACGGGUGAGUAACACGUGGGUAACCUGCCUGUAAGAUUGGGAUAACUCCGGGAAACCGGAGCUAAUACCGGAUAACAUUUUGAACCGCAUGGUUCGAAAUUGAAAGAUGGUUUCGGCUAUCACUUACAGAUGGACCCGCGGCGCAUUAGCUAGUUGGUGAGGUAACGGCGCACCAAGGCAACGAUGCGUAGCCGACCGGAGAGGGUGAUCGGCCACACUGGGACUGAGACACGGCCCAGACUCCUACGGGAGGCAGCAGUAGGGAAUCUUCCGCAAUGGACGAAAGUCUGACGGAGCAACGCCGCGUGAACGAUGAAGGCCUUCGGGUCGUAAAGUUCUGUUGUUAGGGUAGAACAAGUACCAGAGUAACUGCUGGUACCUUGACGGUACCUAACCAGAAAGCCACGGCUAACUACGUGCCAGCCGCCGCGGUAA